CCUACGGGGUGCAGCAGUGGGGAAUAUUGCACAAUGGGCGCAAGCCUGAUGCAGCCAUGCCGCGUGUGUGAAGAAGGCCUUCGGGUUGUAAAGCACUUUCAGCGGGGAGGAAGGCGUUAAGGUUAAUAACCUUGUCGAUUGACGUUACCCGCAGAAGAAGCACCGGCUAACUCCGUGCCAGCAGCCGCGGUAAUACGGAGGGUGCAAGCGUUAAUCGGAAUUACUGGGCGUAAGGCGCACGCAGGCGGUCUGUCAAGUCGGAUGUGAAAUCCCCGGGCUCAACCUGGGAACUGCAUUCGAAACUGGCAGGCUAGAGUCUUGUAGAGGGGGGUAGAAUUCCAGGUGUAGCGGUGAAAUGCGUAGAGAUCUGGAGGAAUACCGGUGGCGAAGGCGGCCCCCUGGACAAAGACUGACGCUCAGGUGCGAAAGCGUGGGGAGCAAACAGGAUUAGAUACCCUAGUAGUC
RNAcentral lists this ribosomal RNA (465 nucleotides) under uncultured Klebsiella sp. RNAcentral's name for it is "bacterial SSU rRNA". It matches the Rfam family "Bacterial small subunit ribosomal RNA", at positions 338 to 795 of the family's 1533-position model. Lineage: Bacteria; Pseudomonadati; Pseudomonadota; Gammaproteobacteria; Enterobacterales; Enterobacteriaceae. The record is from RNAcentral.